This 75-nucleotide transfer RNA is filed under the name Clostridium botulinum. RNAcentral describes it as "tRNA-Val". It matches the Rfam family "tRNA". Rfam says of the family: Transfer RNA (tRNA) molecules are approximately 80 nucleotides in length. Their secondary structure includes four short double-helical elements and three loops (D, anti-codon, and T loops). Lineage: Bacteria; Bacillati; Bacillota; Clostridia; Eubacteriales; Clostridiaceae. The record is from RNAcentral.
GGGCGCAUAGCUCAGCUGGGAGAGCAUCUGCCUUACAAGCAGGGGGUCACAGGUUCGAGCCUGUUGUGCCCACCA